This 2768-nucleotide unclassified non-coding RNA is filed under the name Haliotis rubra (blacklip abalone). Its description in RNAcentral is "3-oxo-5-alpha-steroid 4-dehydrogenase 1-like, transcript variant X1". The record is from RNAcentral. Lineage: Eukaryota; Metazoa; Mollusca; Gastropoda; Lepetellida; Haliotidae.
GGAAUAAUCUCGUGACCUCUCGUAGGUCGGCAAAGCAACAUGGCGUUUGCAGACGACGCAUGGAGAUAUGUUCGCGACCUCGCUGAAAGUGAACUGCAGUUGAUAUACUAUGUGUCAUAUAUGUUCCUGGUGUGGGGAGUACUUGUUGCAGUGUCCUUACAGAUUGUCAGUGCUCCGUAUGGCCGCUAUUCUCGGAAAGGUUGGGGAGUCGGUUUGAAGGCGAAUGUUGCCUGGGUGAUCCAAGAACUGCCCUCCUUCGCUGUGCCGUUACUGCUCCUCGCAUUUUCAGACUCUCCCAAGUUUCAUAAUCUGCCAAAUAAAAUAAUCCUCGGCAUGUUUCUCAUUCAUUAUUUUCAAAGAACUUUUGUUUUUUCAAUACUGAUAAAAGGAGGCAAAGCUACACCUCUGGUGCCAUUCCUUAUGGCAUGUGUGUUCUGUGCAACCAAUGGGUAUAUCCAGGGUCGUUACCUGCUCAAGUAUGCUGACUUCAGUACUGACUGGGAGAGGAAACCUACUUUCCUUCUAGGCAUUGCAAUGUUUUUCUCAGGGAUGUUUAUCAAUAUCCAGUCUGACUCAAUACUGAGGAACCUCCGUCAGCCUGGAGAAACCUGCUACAAGAUACCCAGAGGAGGGAUGUUUGAAUAUGUUUCUGGUGCCAACUUCCUGGGCGAGAUUCUGGAAUGGUGGGGCUUUGCUAUAGCCAGUUGUACCCUCCCAGCAUUGGGCUUUGCUGUAUUCACCACAUGUAAUAUCGGCCCACGUGCCUGCCAACACCAUCAGUGGUACAGACAGAAGUUUGAAGAUUAUCCCAAGACUAGAAAAGCUGUUUUCCCCUUCAUUCUAUAACUUGUAUUUCUGAGGAAUACCUGUAUGUGCCAACAGACAUCUUGUAUCUGACUGACUCCACACUGGCUGUUCACAUAUACAUUUUGUUGCUUACAAUGUGAAAAAAAUGAUCUGGGCUUUUGAAGUAAUUAUUUACUGAUGACUUGAAGAAUUUAAAGUAGCCUGUGUACCCACUUUUAGUUUGUUCCUAGAGAAUCUGUGUCGGGUAGUAAUCUCACAGUUUCGGGCACUCACUAUUACAUACAUGAUACAGUGUCCUCCCAUCAGAGAGUUAUCCUCUCUGUCAGACAACAAACUGUAUGACUGGCUGCACAGGUAAUCCUCUAACUGGCUGCACAGGUAAUCCUCUAACUGGCUGCACAGGUAAUCCUCUAACUGGCUGCACAGGUAAUCCUCUAACUGGCCCCUGCAUUAAUAUGGUUUGGUCCAACAGUCAGUGACAGAAAAACAAAGACUUCAUUUCUUCUCAUAUUAUUCUGCAUCCUAUAGGGAAACUUGCACAUUUUACUAUCAGAAAGGACAAAAUAUAAUAUGUGUUUAAUAAUACAUUCCAGAACAUGAGCUAGUAGUCUGUCAUGGAUAAACUCAAAGUGUACAUAUCAUUGGUUGUAAUUACAUUUAAGGAAAUGUUAAUUUAAUAUGUAUUGAUGAUGUAAGUGUAAUCAAAUCUAUACACAUAGCAGCAUGUAAAUAUUUUCUUCAUGUUAAAUUAUCCUUACCAAACCAUGUUUUUGUGGUCAUUAUCUGUUGGCAUUUAUGGAAAAAUGCAAAGUUUGAGGCAUUAAAAAUAUGCAUUUUAAUAAGCAUGGCAUUCUUUUAUAUUUGAACAUUCUAAAACAAGCUCAUAUUCAUCAAAUAAACCUUUGUUUAGAUGUUAGUUACAUGAAAGUUGUGCAACAAUUAAGACGUUUUGAGUUUCGUUAUCUUGAUUUAAAGGUCACACAAACAUUGAAAUGGGGCAUUGUUGUAAAGAGCCAACAGAACAUUAUUUGACAAAUAUUGAAUACUGUUGUGAAAGCAGAAACAUGUACAUUACUAGAUAGUAAUAUAAAUUACCACCAGUACAUAAACUGACUAGGUUUAUGUCAUCUAAUGUUGAUUUUAUUGGUAACUUGUAGAUGUACAUUAUCAUUGAAGUGGAAAGGAAUUGAGCUUGGAUAGGUAUUGUGCAUUACUGAGUUGAGAAGUUUAUUCCUAAGCAGUCUAAUAUUUCCACCAAGUCCAGUUUGGGACAGUUCAUAAAGAAAUGGGUGUAGACCUGAUUAAUCCAUUUGCCAUUGACUAAUGGGACACUAACCUAAUGGGUGAAGCCCAGGGAAUUGGUCACUGUACUAUAACAUGAAUUUGUCGGAGGUGUCACAAUAAACACUACAGAUUUAAACUGUUCUUAUGAUUGUUGCCACAUAGUCUUUAUUUUUCUCCAUCAUGGUGGUAGUCAUCAAGAAGUAAUGAUUUGUUUAAUGUACAGUUACAGGUUGCAAAACUCAGAUUUAAGUUUACUCAGAUGUUUUGAGUAGACAAAAUAGUUUAAGGGACCAGUAUUGCACAAUAGAACCCCUGGGUCAGUGGGAACCAAGUGAGGAGUCUUUUGGGAAGGCUUGUUUCAAAACUGACAUUUCAUAGUAAGAUAUAAUGUGCUUUUGCAUUGUGGCGUAUCACAAAGGGUCAUAGAAAACAUGUACUAGGACAUAGUGAGGGUCAGCCAAAAAUAUAACAAGCAUUAAUGUCAUUAUUUUCACUCCAUCAGUGCUUUUACAUCAUCUGCCCCCACCUGGAGUACUGGAUGACCUGGAUGGCAACUGUCAUGGAGCAGCUGUAGCUGCAUACCAGUAAUACUGCACAAUGUGGACCAUAACGUAUCUGUGAUUGCUGUGGGUGGUUUUGGUUUCAUUUCAUUUUCUUUGAAUAAACUCUAGUCCUAA